This 477-nucleotide ribosomal RNA is filed under the name uncultured bacterium. Its description in RNAcentral is "bacterial SSU rRNA". It matches the Rfam family "Bacterial small subunit ribosomal RNA", at positions 365 to 832 of the family's 1533-position model. The record is from RNAcentral.
UUCGCAAUGCCCGAAAGGGUGACGAAGCGACGCCGCGUGCGGGAAGAAGGCCUUCGGGUUGUAAACCGCUGUCGGGAGUUAAGAAAUGUAAGGAUGUUAAUAGCAUCUUUGCUUGACUAAGGCUCCGGAGGAAGCCACGGCUAACUCUGUGCCAGCAGCCGCGGUAAUACAGAGGCGGCAAGCGUUGUUCGGAAUUAUUGGGCGUAAAGAGCACGUAGGCGGCUAUGUAAGUCGGUUGUGAAAGCCUUCCGCUCAACGGAAGAACAGCAUCCGAUACUACAUGGCUUGAGUGCGGGAGGGGAGAGUGGAACUUCUGGUGGAGCGGUGAAAUGCGUAGAUAUCAGAAGGAACGCCGGCGGCGAAAGCGGCUCUCUGGCCCAUAACUGACGCUGAGUGUGCGAAAGCUAGGGGAGCAAACGGGAUUAGAUACCCCGGUAGUCCUAGCCGUAAACGAUGGGCACUAAGUAGAGGGGUUUU